RNAcentral lists this long non-coding RNA (2601 nucleotides) under Macaca fascicularis (crab-eating macaque). Its description in RNAcentral is "lncRNA (ENSMFAG00000062424.1)". Lineage: Eukaryota; Metazoa; Chordata; Mammalia; Primates; Cercopithecidae. The record is from RNAcentral.
GAGGUCAGGAGUUUGAGACCCGUCUGGCCAACAUGGUGAAACUCUUGUCUCUACUGAAAAUACAAAAAAUUACCCAGCCAUGGUGGUGCACACCUGUAAUCUCAGCUACUCAGGAGGCUGAGGCAGCAGAUGUGUUUGAACCUGGGAGGCGGAGGCUGCAGUGAGCCCAGAUCGUGCCACUGCACUCCAGCCUGGACGACAGAGUGAGACUCAAAAAAAAAAAAAAAAAGUCAUUUUGGCAACCAGUCACCACUUCUUUUUGAUAGCCCCUGGUUUUGUUAGGGGUUAGGGGAAGCAAGGUGUUCAGCAAAAUGAAUAUACUUCCUGGCUUCCUUUGCAGCUAGGGGUGGCCGUGUCACAGUCUGGCCAAGGAAAGGAAAUUGGGAGUUGCUGUGUGGAAACUCAACUCUCUGGAACUUCUUCCUUCCUCCUGCCUCUGCACAAAUGUGAUGGCAGCAGCUGAGGCCACCAUCUUGCGACCAUGAGAGAAAAACCUGGAGAACAGAUGUGUCCUCAGCCCUGACUUCAGACCAACCUACACCCACCUCUAGGCGUGGGGGCUAAGUGAGAGAUGGAUACACUGUUUCAUUUAAGCCCUGGUCACUUAGGUUUUCUGUUAUUCACACCCCAACAAAACCCUACAUGGUCCAGGAGGGCACCAGGCAAAGUAGAGAAGGGUACGAGUUUAUUUCCUGCUUCCCUGGAGACCACCAACCCUCUCACUCUUCCAGACCAGCCUCUGCCACUUCCCAGCUGUCGGCCCUCCUCCAAACAAAUGUGCAUGCCAACACCCAGUGGGUGUGAGGCUUGUAGGCCCAAGUCUAGAGAGAGCUGAGUCUGGCAAACCCUGAAAGCCCCUGUCCCAGCAAGCCAGGCCACAGGUCUGUAGUAUCUGGGACCAGUGAAUAAGGGGACCGGGGGUGCUACUGAGACUCAGAAACCCCAGGACUAGCCCAGGGUAGUUAGAACUGAGUGAGGUUAGCCAGAACUAACCUCACGCAGAUCGCUCCUCCCCCGUUCCCCUCCCUCCACCUUGGUUUGGAAGCCUCCCCGGAGCUCUCCCAGGCUGCCGUCCGCUGUAAACUCUGCCUCCACAAAAAUGCCCUGGGCAACCUGCAACUCACAGCCCUGCUGUCCUCAGAGUAUCAACUGGAGACAGAUGUGCCCAGAAUUGAGGAUGGGUGGGAAAUGAGGAGAAAUGAGGGCUGAGGAGGGGUCAUUCUCAGUCCCUCCCUCUCGGUCACAGGAGGGUGUUACCCAUGCUUUUGGGUGGGUCCCAGGCCCAUAGCUGCAAAUAUUCAUAUUGGCUGCUCUUUAGUGAGCAAGGGUAUGUGCCAGGCAUUGGCAUUGUGCUGGACAUGCAUCAUCACACUGAGUCCUCACGGAAGAUGUAUUAUUCCCAUUUCACAGAAAAUGAAACUGAGGCUUGAGGUUAAGCGAUUUGUCCGUGACCACAAAGAGUUUUCAGGACUCAAACCCAGAUCUGUCACUGGGCAAGGUGGCUCACUCCUGCAAUCCCAGCCCUUUGGGAGACUGAGACCGGUGCAUCUCUUGUGGCCAGGAGUUCAAGCCUGGCCAACAUGGCAAAACCACAUCUCUACUAAAAAUACAAAAAUUAGCUGGGCGUGGUGGCACGCGCCUGUAAUCCCAGCUACUCAAGUGGUGACUGAGGCAGGAGAAUUGCUUGAACCCAGGAGGUGGUGAUUGCAGUGAGCCUAGAUCGUGCCACUACAUUCCAGCCUGAGUGAGAGAGUAAGACUCUGUCUCCAAAAAAAACCCAGAUCUGUCUGACUCUGACACCCAACCUUUAAUCAUUCGCUGUUGUCAAUGUCACCUCCGUUUUGACCAGCCAAGCCAGACCUCCCUGGAGCCUGUGGAGAAGCCAAGGUAGAAAAGGGUUGGAAAAGAAUGGUAAAAUAGGCCAGGUGUGGUGGCUCACCCCUGUAAUUGCAGCACUUUUGGAGGUCAAGACAGGCAGAUUGCUUGAGCCCAGGAGUUCGAGACCAGCCUGGGCAACAUAGUGAGACCCUGUUUCAACUUAAAAAAAAAAAUGGUAAUGAACAAUUGUCAAUUCUGAGCAGCCGGGUAUGGUAUGACCCUGUGUACUUUUUCUGUAUUUUAAAAUGUUCUCAAAAUAAAACCUGUUUCAAAAAAAAAAGAAGAGGACAAAGAAGAUGAGGAGGAAAAAGAGGAAGAGGUAAGGAAGAGGAAGGAAGAGGAGGGGGAGGGGGAGGAAGAAGAGGAGGAGGGAGGGAGGAAGGAAGGAGAAUAAAUGAAGAAAGAGGCCAGGUGGGAUGGCUCACGGCUGUAAUCCCAGCACUUUGGGAGACCGAGGUGGGUGGAUCACCUGAGGUCAGGAGUUUGAGACCAGCCUGGGCAACAUGAUGAAACCCUGUCUCAACUAAAAAUACAAAAAUUAUCGAGGUGUGGUGGUGCGUGCCCAUAAUCCCAGCUACUCGGGAGGCUGAGGCAGGAGAAUCAUUUGAACCCAGGAGGCAGAGGUUGUAGUGAGCUGAGAUUUUGCCACUGCACUCCAGCUGGGGCAACAGGAGCAAAACUUAAUCACACACACAAAAAAUAAUAAUAAUAAUGUAAAAAAAA